This 519-nucleotide ribosomal RNA is filed under the name uncultured bacterium. RNAcentral's name for it is "bacterial SSU rRNA". It matches the Rfam family "Bacterial small subunit ribosomal RNA", at positions 26 to 518 of the family's 1533-position model. The record is from RNAcentral.
AGGACGAACGCUGGCGGCGUGCCUAAUACAUGCAAGUCGAACGGUCUUUCUAUGGAAGCUUGCUUCCACUGAGAAGAUAGUGGCGAACGGGUGAAUAACACGUGGGUAACCUGCCCAUAAGAGGGGGAUAACAUCCGGAAACGGGUGCUAAUACCGCAUAGUUUUCUUGAUCGCAUGAUCGGGAAAGGAAAGACGGCCUUUGUGCUGUCGCUUAUGGAUGGACCCGCGGCGUAUUAGUUAGUUGGUGAGGUAACGGCUCACCAAGACGAUGAUACGUAGCCGACCUGAGAGGGUGAUCGGCCACAUCGGGACUGAGACACGGCCCAAACUCCUACGGGAGGCAGCAGUAGGGAAUCUUCCGCAAUGGACGAAAGUCUGACGGAGCAACGCCGCGUGAGUGAAAGAAGGUUUUCGGAUCGUAAAACUCUGUUGUCAGAGAAGAACAAGUUGGAGAGUAACUGCUCCAGCCUUGACGGUAUCUGACCAGAAAGCCACGGCUAACUACGUGCCAGCCGCGGC